GACGAACGCUGGCGGCGUGCUUAACACAUGCAAGUCGAACGGAAAGGCCCUGCUUUUGUGGGGUGCUCGAGUGGCGAACGGGUGAGUAACACGUGAGUAACCUGCCCUUGACUUUGGGAUAACUUCAGGAAACUGGGGCGAAUACCGGAUAGGAGCUCCUGCUGCAUGGUGGUGGUUGGAAAGAUUCGGCGGUUGGGGAUGGACUCGCGGCUUAUCAGCUUGUUGGUGGGGUAGUGGCUUACCAAGGCUUUGACGGGUAGCCGGCCUGAGAGGGUGACCGGCCACAAUGGGACUGAGAUAGGGACCAGACGCCUACGGGAGGCAGCAGUGGGGAAUAUUGCACAAUGGGCGGAAGCCUGAUGCAGCAACGCCGCGUGCGGGAUGACGGCCUACGGGUUGUAAACCGCUUUCGCCUGUGACGAAGCGUGAGUGACGGUAAUGGGUAAAGAAGCACCGGCUAACUACGUG
Molecule: ribosomal RNA, 468 nt
Filed under: uncultured bacterium
Lineage: Bacteria
Description: partial 16S ribosomal RNA
Rfam family: Bacterial small subunit ribosomal RNA
Source: RNAcentral